Thalassophryne amazonica is the source of this 105-nucleotide long non-coding RNA. RefSeq lists it as uncharacterized. NCBI's taxonomy places the organism in Eukaryota, Metazoa, Chordata, Actinopteri, Batrachoidiformes, Batrachoididae. The transcript has 3 exons. The record is from RefSeq and is a predicted model, not a curated record.
GGUUACGGGGGGCUGGAGCCUAUCACAGCAGCAGCAGAGCGCGAGGCAGGGCACACCAUGAACAGGAUGCCAGGCUGUCGCAGGGCCACAUAUAGACAAACAAAC